Molecule: long non-coding RNA, 2800 nt
Filed under: Sparus aurata (gilthead seabream)
Lineage: Eukaryota; Metazoa; Chordata; Actinopteri; Spariformes; Sparidae
Description: lncRNA (ENSSAUG00010010761.1)
Source: RNAcentral
CAUCAUGAUACCAUAUUAUAUCGAUUCUGUGGACAACGAUACGAUAUUUGAUGAUCAAAAUCGAUGAUACUAUAUAUAUCAUAUGUCGUUUGAACACAGUAACAGAAGCUGCCACCACUUUCUUUUCUAUUUUUGUUCAUAAAUUAACAAAACACAUAAAUAUGGUUGACCGGUUAUGUCCAGUAACAACAGUUUUUUUUUUUGGCCUCAAGUGACGCUGAGCAGCGGUCAUAGAAAUUAAAUGGCUUGGACUGGUGAUUUAGACAUGCCAUGGGAAUGUGAAAAUAAAGGCGAAUGAUAGAAUCGAUGUUUUCCCUUUCGCGAAUUUGCAUCGAUUAUAUUGGAUUGUUGAUCACUGAAUCGAUAUAUAUCAAUCCAGAUCAUUGGAUCGUGACACCCCUACCGUACAUCCUGAAUACUGUAGCCCCACAGGCACUUUCCCUGGCCCUGAUGACCUCAUGUAACCCCCACUUUGCACAUCCCUGCCUCGUUACGCUGUAUCCUAUCCCCACAGACCCACCUGAUGGUUCCCCCUCCUGUUCUGUGGAGCCGGCUCUGAAUCACACCUCUCUGAAACUGCUCUGCUCCUGGACCGGUGGAUUCCCCUCCCCCUCCCUCCACUGGACCGGAGACCUGAAAACAUUGGGACACACGGAGGCUGACACAGGGACGCAGACAAAUCAACUAACCAACACUACUGUCUUGCUGUCGACUGAAGGCAUGGCCUCCAACGACAGCUCGUUUUCAUGCAUGGGCUCACACCUGGCACUGACACAAUCAAGAGUGUGCAGCACGCGAACAUAUAUCCCCCCUGCCGAACCAGUGUGUUUAGCCUAUGUGACUAACAACAAACAGUAUCUGAUGCUGUCCUGCUCCUGGGAUGGAGGAUCUCCAAACGCCUUGGUGUGGUGGGAGGGCCCGGGUGACCAGGGCAAAGUUGGGAAAGAAAGCUCCAACGUCCUAGUCCUUCGUUACGGCACCGCCCGCGGUGGGAAACCCUACACCUGCCACGCUAAGCAUCCCCUUCUGAUCCAAACCAAAACCUGCAGGCUCACUCUGGAGGCUCCUGUGUUGCUGACACAGCGCAGAGUUGUGUCUGUGUAUGAGGGAAGUGAUGUCCAGCUCACCUGCAACCUGAGAUCCAACUACCUUCCCACCAAUCAAAUCACCUGGUUUAACAAUCGUGGCUUGGACGUCAAAGGCACAUCGAAGUACACACUGCUGCGAACAUCUGCAUGGGCCAAUCUGACUGUGAGAGACACACAUGAGGCUCAAGACAGCGGCGAGUACAGGUGCACCACCUCCAACGCAGUGGGAGGAACGGAAGUCAAUGUCACCUUACUGGUCAAGAGGCACCCCAUGCCGCCCAAUGCGACCCUAGUCAAAGUGAUGUACAACAGCCGAAAGCGGAACGAGGUGGAGCUUGAGUGGCAGGUAGAGAGCGAAGAAGAAAGAGGUUGGACGGGUUUCAUCCUGGAGCACAUCUGGGUGCCAGAGCGACCAGGAAGGAGAGGCAGGAAUGAUACAAAGGAGGACACAGAUGAUAGAAUCGGCCCCCCAGUCUGGUACCCUAGCAUCAUCCAGGACCCAGAAGUCAGGAGUCAUACAGUAGGAAGACUGACGCCAACCGUUACCUACCAGUUCCGCAUCACACCUGUCAACCACCGCACCCUAGGACACCCUUCUGCACCAAAGACUCCAGCGGAACCACGCUACAACGUGUACCCUGCUGUGAUUGGAGCAGCUAUAGGUGGGAUGCUCUUCGCAGCCAUCGUCACGGCGCUGCUGCUCCUGUUCAUAAUCCGCAACCGCAACAACAAUCCUCGACUACAUGAUAUGCUGUUUGGGUCGCAGCACAGCCAGUCAAGGGAAAACAUCAACUUGCCGGAGGAUGAAGUGGUUGGCGGGUCUGAGGGAGGAAUAGAGGAGAUCGGUGGAUUAGCCAGUCCAGGUCCAACCUUGGCUCUACCCCGGGCGUCUUCACCCCUCACCACCUCACCCCUGAGUGCCACCCCCACCACGAGCCAAGCGCCUCCCCCUGGAGACGACAACGAACCUGUCAGCGUCACCAUCACCGUCAAGGCUACAGGCUCAUAGUCACAUGUCACAGACUCCUUCGGUUGUAGAUGAACGUGGAAAUAAUGUUUUUGUAGACAGCGGACAGUUUGUGCAGUCACUGACUUGGAUCAUAUCUCGACUACAUUAGCAGUUACAAUCCUGUCCCAACUUUCUCUGCAAAACUUUGGCAUAAAGUAAUGUAAAGCACAGACACAAGGGAUCAAUUCAUUUCUAGACAAAAUGAUAUGCAUGUAUACCGUUUUUUGAACAUGAAAAACCUUUUGUUUUAGCAGGCUACCUUCACAACAACCUAAUAUGCUCUUAGUAAGUACCCAGCAGAUGAUUAGGUCCAGAUGAUUUAUACAGUUUUUUUUUUGUUUAGUUUACUACACUUGGUACAUUUUGUGUUGAAACUAAUACUUUUUACACAUGAGCUAAGUGGUGUAAACAAGAGCUCAUAUGGACUGAUGAUGGUAAAUCAUUGACUGUACAGCUUUGGUGACUGAACCUGCAUCUUCAGCACUACAUGAAUCCACCAAAGGAAAAUAAAAUAAAGAAUAUUAUAAAGUGGAAGUACAUUUCUGCUGACUCACAGGAAGUUGUAGUGAACUGGCAUUGAUUGCUUUUCUUCUCUCAAUUCUGAAAUUGCCUUUUUAGGAAAAUUAUUUCUCCUUCAUUGAUUAAGGGGAUCUCAAGGUCUCCAAGUUUCGCCCCUUGGAAACAGCUGGGACAAUUGCGCCCC